UGAGGAAUAUUGGUCAAUGGGCGAGAGCCUGAACCAGCCAAGUAGCGUGCAGGAUGACGGCCCUAUGGGUUGUAAACUGCUUUUAUAUGGGAAUAAAGUGAGGGACGUGUCCCUUAUUGCAUGUACCAUACGAAUAAGGACCGGCUAAUUCCGUGCCAGCAGCCGCGGUAAUACGGAAGGUCCAGGCGUUAUCCGGAUUUAUUGGGUUUAAAGGGAGCGUAGGCUGUUUGUUAAGCGUGUUGUGAAAUGUAGGAGCUCAACUUUUAGAAUGCAGCGAGAAGUGGCAGACUUGAGUGCGCACAACGUAGGCGGAAUUCAUGGUGUAGCGGUGAAAUGCUUAGAUAUCAUGACGAACUCCGAUUGCGAAGGCAGCUUACGGGAGCGCAACUGACACUAAAGUUCGAAGGUGCGGGUAUCGAACAGG
RNAcentral lists this ribosomal RNA (424 nucleotides) under Verrucomicrobiota bacterium. RNAcentral describes it as "Verrucomicrobia bacterium partial 16S ribosomal RNA". It matches the Rfam family "Bacterial small subunit ribosomal RNA", at positions 355 to 776 of the family's 1533-position model. The record is from RNAcentral. Lineage: Bacteria; Pseudomonadati; Verrucomicrobiota.